UCAAUGCACACCUCCGCUGGGGAAAUAGCAAUGUACAGACGUGCUAGGGACAUAACAUUCUCAACCCCGCUGGGGAUUACAACACUUCAGUCCUGGCCGCUGAGGAACAAACUACCCACAGACACCUCCGCUUGGGAAAUAACAAUCUUCAGACUCGCUGGGGAACUGACAGUCCUCAGACAUGCUGGGGAAAGACAUCUUCAACCCUGCUGGGGAUUACAAC
RNAcentral lists this long non-coding RNA (223 nucleotides) under Lathyrus oleraceus (garden pea). RNAcentral's name for it is "Pisum sativum (pea) long non-coding RNA (PSAT_LNC005832)". The record is from RNAcentral. Lineage: Eukaryota; Viridiplantae; Streptophyta; Magnoliopsida; Fabales; Fabaceae.